This 478-nucleotide ribosomal RNA is filed under the name uncultured bacterium. RNAcentral describes it as "partial 16S ribosomal RNA". It matches the Rfam family "Bacterial small subunit ribosomal RNA", at positions 28 to 523 of the family's 1533-position model. The record is from RNAcentral.
GAUGAACGCUGGCGGCGUGCUUAACACAUGCAAGUCGAACGGUAAGGCCCUUCGGGGUACACGAGUGGCGAACGGGUGAGUAACACGUGGGUGAUCUGCCCUGCACUUCGGGAUAAGCCUGGGAAACUGGGUCUAAUACCGGAUAGGACCACUGCCUGCAUGGGUGGUGGUGGAAAGCUUUUGCGGUGUGGGAUGGGCCCGCGGCCUAUCAGCUUGUUGGUGGGGUGGUGGCCUACCAAGGCGACGACGGGUAGCCGGCCUGAGAGGGUGACCGGCUACACUGGGACUGAGAUACGGCCCAGACUCCUACGGGAGGCAGCAGUGGGGAAUAUUGCACAAUGGGCGCAAGCCUGAUGCAGCGACGCCGCGUGAGGGAUGACGGCCUUCGGGUUGUAAACCUCUUUCAGCACCGACGAAGCGCAAGUGACGGUAGGUGCAGAAGAAGGACCGGCCAACUACGUGCCAGCAGCCGCCGUAA